UACGAAGGGGGCUAGCGUUGCUCGGAAUCACUGGGCGUAAAGCGCACGUAGGCGGAUUGCUAAGUCAGGGGUGAAAUCCUGGAGCUCAACUCCAGAACUGCCUUUGAUACUGGCGAUCUCGAGUCCGGGAGAGGUGAGUGGAACUGCGAGUGUAGAGGUGAAAUUCGUAGAUAUUCGCAAGAACACCAGUGGCGAAGGCGGGUCUCUGGGCCGAUACUGACGCUGAGGAGCGAAAGCGUGGGGAGCGAACAGG
RNAcentral lists this ribosomal RNA (253 nucleotides) under uncultured bacterium. RNAcentral's name for it is "partial 16S ribosomal RNA". It matches the Rfam family "Bacterial small subunit ribosomal RNA", at positions 524 to 776 of the family's 1533-position model. The record is from RNAcentral.